CGGCCGUGGCUUGUUUGACGGGUUUGGAUGGGAGACGUGACGGAGCAGCGGUGUCCGGCAGCCAGAACCAAACUAACGUGCUCCAUCCACUGCAGCCGCAGAGGCAAAGCAUUGCUUGGUUUUGUUUACAUUAGUGGAAAUUAACGGCUUAUUAAGCAUAUGGAGACUUUUCAGCAGAUUUGGUGCAGCUGUUCCUAUACCACUUGAUUAUUGCUUCCUGCACAUAAAGAGUUUGCAGUGCUCAAAUGUAAGCAGACAAUAUAAGGUAAGAAAUACCAGCACAAUUUGUUGUGUACUAACACCAGUAAUCUACUAAUGGGAACAAUAUCGUUUGUCCUAAGGUAUUUUGUGCUUAUUUAAUGAAAACUGAGAUGGUGCACACCAACACUUGUGGAAUCAUUCAUGCCAGUGCAAUGCAAAAUUCAAGCUCUAGUUUGCUCGGUUGUUAAGCUGAAUUAUUUUCUCAGUCAGAAACAGAACAGAAAUUGAUGCAAAGCUAUGUGAUGAAGCU
This 511-nucleotide long non-coding RNA is filed under the name Zonotrichia albicollis (white-throated sparrow). RNAcentral's name for it is "lncRNA (ENSZALG00000016341.1)". Lineage: Eukaryota; Metazoa; Chordata; Aves; Passeriformes; Passerellidae. The record is from RNAcentral.